This 300-nucleotide long non-coding RNA is filed under the name Brassica napus (rape). Its description in RNAcentral is "long non-coding RNA (BNAP_LNC007971)". The record is from RNAcentral. Lineage: Eukaryota; Viridiplantae; Streptophyta; Magnoliopsida; Brassicales; Brassicaceae.
GUGCAAGUGAGUUCGUUUUUAGUUACGUUGAUCAAGGUGUUUGAGGUGGACAUAAACUCCCAUGUUUUUUUUGAACAUAUAACCUCCCAUGUUGAUGACCCCAAGGGAGUCUACUUCGUUUUACAUAAGCGCUACCUUUAAUCAUUUGAUUUAAUAUAUAUCCUUCUAGUCUCUAAGUUGUUCAAGCUAACCACAUUCAUGUUCGUAUACAUUUAGGGUGAAUAAACCAUAUAAUCUGAUACACCAACAAAAUAUUCGUCUAAUAACAUAUAUAUCGAAUGGUGAUGGAUUUAUUAUUAG